Molecule: ribosomal RNA, 250 nt
Filed under: uncultured bacterium
Lineage: Bacteria
Description: partial 16S ribosomal RNA
Rfam family: Bacterial small subunit ribosomal RNA
Source: RNAcentral
UACGGAGGGUGCAAGCGUUAUCCGGAUUCACUGGGUUUAAAGGGAGCGUAGGUGGGCUAGUAAGUCCGUGGUGAAAUCUCUGAGCUUAACUCGGAAACUGCCAUGGAUACUAUUAGUCUUGAAUAUUGUUGAGGUUAGCGGAAUAUGUCAUGUAGCGGUGAAAUGCUUAGAUAUGACAUAGAACACCAAUUGCGAAGGCAGCUGGCUAAACAAAUAUUGACACUGAGGCUCGAAAGCGUGGGGAUCAAAC